CUAUACAUGCAGUCGAGCGAACAGAUAAGGAGCUUGCUCCUUUGACGUUAGCGGCGGACGGGUGAGUAACACGUGGAUAACCUACCUAUAAGACUGGGAUAACUUCGGGAAACCGGAGCUAAUACCGGAUAAGAUUUUGAACCGCAUGGUUCAAUAGUGAAAGACGGCCUUGCUGUCACUUAUAGAUGGAUCCGCGCCGUAUUAGCUAGUUGGUAAGGUAACGGCUUACCAAGGCAACGAUACGUAGCCGACCUGAGAGGGUGAUCGGCCACACUGGAACUGAGACACGGUCCAGACUCCUACGGGAGGCAGCAGUAGGGAAUCUUCCGCAAUGGGCGAAAGCCUGACGGAGCAACGCCGCGUGAGUGAUGAAGGUCUUCGGAUCGUAAAACUCUGUUAUCAGGGAAGAACAAACGUGUAAGUAACUGUGCACGUCUUGACGGUACCUGAUCAGAAAGCCACGGCUAACUACGUGCCAGCAGCCGCGGUAAUACGUAGGUGGCAAGCGUUAUCCGGAAUUAUUGGGCGUAAAGCGCGCGUAGGCGGUUUUUUAAGUCUGAUGUGAAAGCCCACGGCUCAACCGUGGAGGGUCAUUGGAAACUGGAAAACUUGAGUGCAGAAGAGGAAAGUGGAAUUCCAUGUGUAGCGGUGAAAUGCGCAGAGAUAUGGAGGAACACCAGUGGCGAAGCGACUUUCUGGUCUGUAACUGACGCUGAUGUGCGAAAGCGUGGGGAUCAAACAGGAUUAGAU
Molecule: ribosomal RNA, 750 nt
Filed under: Staphylococcus sp.
Lineage: Bacteria; Bacillati; Bacillota; Bacilli; Caryophanales; Staphylococcaceae
Description: bacterial SSU rRNA
Rfam family: Bacterial small subunit ribosomal RNA
Source: RNAcentral